CACGUAGGGACCAAGCGUUGUCCGGAUUCAUUGGGCGUAAAGAGCUCGUAGGCGGUUCGGUAAGUCGGGUGUGAAACCUCCAGGCUCAACCUGGAGACGCCACCCGAUACUGCCGUGACUAGAGUCCAGUAGGGGAGCGUGGAAUUCCUGGUGUAGCGGUGAAAUGCGCAGAUAUCAGGAGGAACACCGGCGGCGAAGGCGGCACUCUGGGCCGGUACUGACGCUGAGGAGCGAAAGCGUGGGUAGCAAACAGG
This 254-nucleotide ribosomal RNA is filed under the name uncultured bacterium. RNAcentral describes it as "partial 16S ribosomal RNA". It matches the Rfam family "Bacterial small subunit ribosomal RNA", at positions 524 to 776 of the family's 1533-position model. The record is from RNAcentral.